This 430-nucleotide ribosomal RNA is filed under the name uncultured bacterium. RNAcentral's name for it is "partial 16S ribosomal RNA". It matches the Rfam family "Bacterial small subunit ribosomal RNA", at positions 357 to 780 of the family's 1533-position model. The record is from RNAcentral.
UGGGAAUUUGGACAAUGGGGAACCCUGAUCCAGCCAUCCCGCGUGUGCGAUGAAGGCCUUCGGGUUGUAAAGCACUUUUGGCAGGAAAGAAACGUCGCGGGUUAAUACCCCGCGGAACUGACGGUACCUGCAGAAUAAGCACCGGCUAACUACGUGCCAGCAGCCGCGGUAAUACGUAGGGUGCAAGCGUUAAUCGGAAUUACUGGGCGUAAAGCGUGCGCAGGCGGUUCGGAAAGAAAGAUGUGAAAUCCCAGAGCUUAACUUUGGAACUGCAUUUUUAACUACCGGGCUAGAGUGUGUCAGAGGGAGGUGGAAUUCCAGCGUGUAGCAGUGAAAUGCGUAGAUAUGCGGAGGAACACCGAUGGCGAAGGCAGCCUCCUGGGAUAACACUGACGCUCAUGCACGAAAGCGUGGGGAGCAAACAGGAUUA